GCUAAGGACGUGCCAUGGGCCGCGGUAAGCGGUGGGGGGCAAGCGUUAAGCGUAAGUACUGGGCGUAAAGCGGGCGCAGGCGGUUGUGUAAGACAGGUGUGAAAUCCCCGGGCUUAACCUGGGAAUUGCAUUUGUGACUGCACGACUAGAGUGUGUCAGAGGGGGGUGGAAUUCCACGUGUAGCAGUGAAAUGCGUAGAUAUGUGGAGGAACACCAAUGGCGAAGGCAGCCCCCUGGGAUAACACUGACGCUCAUGCACGAAAGCGUGGGGAGCAAACAGGAUUAGAUACCCGAGUAGUC
This 300-nucleotide ribosomal RNA is filed under the name uncultured Sulfophobococcus sp. Its description in RNAcentral is "bacterial SSU rRNA". It matches the Rfam family "Bacterial small subunit ribosomal RNA", at positions 496 to 795 of the family's 1533-position model. Lineage: Archaea; Thermoproteati; Thermoproteota; Thermoprotei; Desulfurococcales; Desulfurococcaceae. The record is from RNAcentral.